AAAAGUCGUAACAAGGUUUCCGUAGGUGAACCUGCGGAAGGAUCAUUACCGAGUGAGGGCCCUCUGGGUCCAACCUCCCACCCGUGUUUAUUUUACCUUGUUGCUUCGGCGGGCCCGCCUUAACUGGCCGCCGGGGGGCUUACGCCCCCGGGCCCGCGCCCGCCGAAGACACCCUCGAACUCUGUCUGAAGAUUGUAGUCUGAGUGAAAAUAUAAAUUAUUUAAAACUUUCAACAACGGAUCUCUUGGUUCCGGCAUCGAUGAAGAACGCAGCGAAAUGCGAUACGUAAUGUGAAUUGCAAAUUCANGUGAAUCAUCGAGUCUUUGAACGCACAUUGCGCCCCCUGGUAUUCCGGGGGGCAUGCCUGUCCGAGCGUCAUUGCUGCCCUCAAGCACGGCUUGUGUGUUGGGCCCCGUCCUCCGAUCCCGGGGGACGGGCCCGAAAGGCAGCGGCGGCACCGCGUCCGGUCCUCGAGCGUAUGGGGCUUUGUCACCCGCUCUGUAGGCCCGGCCGGCGCUUGCCGAUCAACCCAAAUUUUUNCCAGGUUGACUCGGANCAGGUAGGGAUACCCGCUGAAA
Molecule: ribosomal RNA, 578 nt
Filed under: Penicillium chrysogenum
Lineage: Eukaryota; Fungi; Ascomycota; Eurotiomycetes; Eurotiales; Aspergillaceae
Description: eukaryotic LSU rRNA
Rfam family: 5.8S ribosomal RNA (bases 225-378)
Source: RNAcentral